This 468-nucleotide ribosomal RNA is filed under the name uncultured bacterium. Its description in RNAcentral is "partial 16S ribosomal RNA". It matches the Rfam family "Bacterial small subunit ribosomal RNA", at positions 28 to 507 of the family's 1533-position model. The record is from RNAcentral.
GACGAACGCUGGCGGCGUGCUUAACACAUGCAAGUCGAACGGUGAAGCUCCAGCUUGCUGGAGUGGAUCAGUGGCGAACGGGUGAGUAACACGUGAGCAACCUGCCCCUGACUCUGGAAUAAGCGCUGGAAACGGCGUCUAAUACUUGAUACGUGAAGGGUCCGCAUGGGCACUUUCUGUAAAGUUUUUCGGUUGGGGAUGGGCUCGCGGCCUAUCAGCUUGUUGGUGAGGUAAUGGCUCACCAAGGCGACGACGGGUAGCCGGCCUGAGAGGGCGACCGGCCACACUGGGACUGAGACACGGCCCAGACUCCUACGGGAGGCAGCAGUGGGGAAUAUUGCACAAUGGGCGAAAGCCUGAUGCAGCGAGGCCGCGUGAGGGAUGACGGCCUUCGGGUUGUAAACCUCUUUCAGCAGGGAAGAAGCGAAAGUGACGGUACCUGCAGAAGAAGCACCGGCUAACUACGUG